CAGGAAAAGCAGAAGCUCCAAGUUCGGCCCUUUGUGGGCCAAGGGAUCCUCCGCCUGGCGUCCCUGGGUGUUUUAGCUGUUUGAGCCUCUCCCCUCAGGCACUGAGAUGACUGCAAGAAGGGUGGUGGAGAAGAACUCUUCAGGCGGAGUGAGAGGUGAGUCUCCAGAGACUUCCACCAUCCCAACUCUUUGGAAUAUCUGGAUGGCAGCUGUCCAGUUAAACGAUUGCAAGAAGUGUUGCUGACUUCAGUAGCUGUUACUUCUCUCUCAGAGCUACCAGGGGGUCAUCUGUUUUUUAGAAUUCUGCAAUAGAACAUUCUAGCACUUAAUGAUCACUUUUUACUCUCUGUCUUUAGUGAUUGAUUUGUUCAUACAAAAACUUGUGUUCACAUUUGAAACUGCAAUUAAUAUUACCACUGAACACAGAGGUUAGAUUUCCUUAUGUGCAAAUUGUCAGUGCAGAUGCAAGCUGAGAGUUCAUAUAAUGGAUGACUUUUGCAUUGAAUUUCACUUCUUGUAUACUUGGGAGUUUUGGCCACAAGAAUGCUGGAGAAUAUAAAAUUCCUCUUGUACUUUCAUCUGUGAAAAAAAUGGGAUCCUGACAUUUUCCACUGGUUUGCUUUUUGUUUCUCUUCCCAUCCACUUGCCCUCAUACACUUGCAUGUGACAUUUUGGCAAAUGCAGGUGUGUAACUCAUGCAGAUUCUUUCAUCUGAUUGAAAAGGGUUUCUGCCUUUGGAAAUUUUGGCCCUAUCUAUUAAUGGGCACUUUUGACAACUCUCUGUAAGUUUUUGUUCUUCCAGUAGCCACUUGGUUGGCCAAAGCGACACUGUGUUGAAACUACGUUGGCCAACAAAACUCCUGCAGUUUCAGCUGGCAGAGUUAUUUUCCAAUUCCUUGCCUUGAUUGUUGGGACACUUAGCUAAAUUUAGACAACUUUUUUUUUUUUUGUUUCAGCCAAAAGAUGGGAACAUUUUGUUGUGACACUAAAAUGUGUCCUCUUUACGUACUGUUUAUUUUACAUUUGAGGAGUUUUUGAGGCAGGUUGUCCUAUAUCACUUCGUAGGCUUAAUAAGGAAGCUGUCAGCUUUUAUUUAACUGGACAUUAUUAAAUUAAUAGAUACAAGUACUUCAGUCCAAACAUAUUUAUACAUAUUUUCCAACAACAUGCUUUGCCACAUCAGUUCAGAAUCUGCAAAUGCACCACAGUUCAGUUACACCUAAAGUGAUCUAAUGAAUAGCUUGUUAGUCUUCAGCACAAGUCAAUAAAAGAAAACAACUGGAAUAUAA
This is a long non-coding RNA of Pogoniulus pusillus (Red-fronted tinkerbird), 1289 nucleotides long. RefSeq lists it as uncharacterized. NCBI's taxonomy places the organism in Eukaryota, Metazoa, Chordata, Aves, Piciformes, Lybiidae. The transcript has 3 exons. The record is from RefSeq and is a predicted model, not a curated record.